GCGGGGGUACCCAAGUCAGGUCUAAGGGGGCAGACUCAAGAUCUGCUGCCGUAGGGCUUCGGGGGUUCAAAUCCCUCCCCCCGCACCA
This 88-nucleotide transfer RNA is filed under the name Candidatus Bathyarchaeota archaeon. RNAcentral's name for it is "tRNA-Leu". It matches the Rfam family "tRNA". Rfam says of the family: Transfer RNA (tRNA) molecules are approximately 80 nucleotides in length. Their secondary structure includes four short double-helical elements and three loops (D, anti-codon, and T loops). Further hydrogen bonds mediate the characteristic L-shaped molecular structure. tRNAs have two regions of fundamental functional importance: the anti-codon, which is responsible for specific mRNA codon recognition, and the 3' end, to which the tRNAs corresponding amino acid is attached (by aminoacyl-tRNA synthetases). tRNAs cope with the degeneracy of the genetic code in two manners: having more than one tRNA (with a specific anti-codon) for a particular amino acid; and 'wobble' base-pairing, i.e. permitting non-standard base-pairing at the 3rd anti-codon position. The record is from RNAcentral. Lineage: Archaea; Thermoproteati; Candidatus Bathyarchaeota. RNAcentral also lists the same sequence under 1 other name.